Manihot esculenta (cassava) is the source of this 804-nucleotide long non-coding RNA. RefSeq lists it as uncharacterized. Lineage: Eukaryota; Viridiplantae; Streptophyta; Magnoliopsida; Malpighiales; Euphorbiaceae. The transcript has 2 exons. The record is from RefSeq and is a predicted model, not a curated record.
UCAUUGCUUCUUGGAACUUGUCUAAAUUUAUGGUUGUAGAACUUACUGCAAAAUUUGCAUGUUCGUGGUGUAGGCACCUGGAAAUAUUUUUAGACAAGUCCAUAAUAAGUUUAAGGAUAAUUGAAUUGAAAUCUGAUCAAGAGAUAAUGAAUUGCAAUUUGCUUAAAAAUGAGCAUUAUAGGUUGGCUACUGGUUCCAUGCCUUAAUGCCCCUGGAAAAGAAGGCUUAUCUGUCUUUAAUCUCUAGUCUUAAUUUGGUGGUACACAAAACAGCGUGAAAUCAAAGUAAAUUGCUAACCUAAGGCUUCAUUUCUUUCAUAUAUAAAAGUUUCUUGGAACACUUUUAUUUAUUCUUUUGCCUUUACCUGAUUGGGCACAUAAAAAUUUGGUCAACACAAAUAUUUUUCAGGUGAAAUGGGAAAACCUGAAAUGAGAUGUUUUGGAAUGGGAAUUCAUUUUAACUUGUAAAAUUGGAAAAAACUUUACCAAAAAAGCCACAUAGGCGCAUUGUCACUAGUCUAUUGACCAUCAUUGGUGGUUAUUGGUCAUUGUUGGCACUUGGCAGUUGCCAAUUACCUGUGACCAUCACAAGUUACCCUUGUCUUUGCAUGAUCUCUCUAUAGUCAAACAUUCUUAUGGUCUAUUACCACAAAAAGCAAAUUAAUUUUCUUAGAUGUACCCAAAACGGCUAAAUACUGGAAAAAAAAUUUAACGUUUAUUUUCUAUGUUGCGAGUAAACAAUGGAAAAUAGCUCAGAGAAUGUUUUCCAUGAAACAUUUUCACAAACAAGUUUUUUUUUUUUUUU